GACGAACGCUGGCGGCGUGCUUAACACAUGCAAGUCGAACGGAAAGGCCCUGCUUUUGUGGGGUGCUCGAGUGGCGAACGGGUGAGUAACACGUGAGUAACCUGCCCUUGACUUUGGGAUAACUUCAGGAAACUGGGGCUAAUACCGGAUAGGAGCUCCUGCUGCAUGGUGGGGGUUGGAAAGUUUCGGCGGUUGGGGAUGGACUCGCGGCCUAUCAGCUUGUUGGUGGGGUAGUGGCUUACCAAGGCUUUGACGGGUAGCCGGCCUGAGAGGGUGACCGGCCACAUUGGGACUGAGAUACGGACCAGACUCCUACGGGAGGCAGCAGUGGGGAAUAUUGCACAAUGGGCGGAAGCCUGAUGCAGCAACGACGCGUGCGGGAUGACGGCCUUCGGGUUGUAAACCGCUUUCGCCUGUGACGAAGCGUGAGUGACGGUAAUGGGUAAAGAAGCACCGGCUAACUACGUG
Molecule: ribosomal RNA, 468 nt
Filed under: uncultured bacterium
Lineage: Bacteria
Description: partial 16S ribosomal RNA
Rfam family: Bacterial small subunit ribosomal RNA
Source: RNAcentral